RNAcentral lists this ribosomal RNA (468 nucleotides) under uncultured bacterium. RNAcentral's name for it is "partial 16S ribosomal RNA". It matches the Rfam family "Bacterial small subunit ribosomal RNA", at positions 28 to 507 of the family's 1533-position model. The record is from RNAcentral.
GACGAACGCUGGCGGCGUGCUUAACACAUGCAAGUCGAACGGAAAGGCCCUGCUUUUGUGGGGUGCUCGAGUGGCGAACGGGUGAGUAACACGUGAGUAACCUGCCCUUGACUUUGGGAUAACUUCAGGAAACUGGGGCUAAUACCGGAUAGGAGCUCCUGCUGCAUGGUGGGGGUUGGAAAGUUUCGGCGGCUGGGGAUGGACUCGCGGCUUAUCAGCUUGUUGGUGGGGUAGUGGCUUACCAAGGCUUUGACGGGUAGCCGGCCUGAGAGGGUGACCGGCCACAUUGGGACUGAGAUACGGCCCAGACUCCUACGGGAGGCAGCAGUGGGGAAUAUUGCACAAUGGGCGGAAGCCUGAUGCAGCAACGCCGCGUGCGGGAUGACGGCCUUCGGGUUGUAAACCGCUUUCGCCUGUGACGAAGCGUGGGUGACGGUAAUGGGUAAAGAAGCACCGGCUAACUACGUG